GACGAACGCUGGCGGCGUGCUUAACACAUGCAAGUCGAACGGAAAGGCCCCUUUGUGGGUCCUCGAGUGGCGAACGGGUGAGUAACACGUGAGUAACCUUCCCUUGACUUCGGGACAACUUCAGGAAACUGGGGCUAAUACCGGAUAGGAAUCCUUUCUGCAUGGUGGGGGUUGGAAAGCUUCGGCGGGUUUGGCUGGAUUCGCGGGUUAUCUGCUUGUUGGUGUGGUAGUGGGUUACCAAGGCUUUUACGGGUAGCCGGCCUGAGUGGGCGACCGGCCACACUGGGACUGAGAUAAGGCCCAGACUGCUACGGUAGGCAGAAGUGGGGAAUACUGCCGGAUGGGCGGAAGCCUGAUGAAGCAAGGCCGCGGGCGGGAUGACGGCCUUCGGGUUGUAAACCGAUUUCAGAAGGGGCGAAGCUUGUGGUGACGGUACCUGCAGAAGAAGCACCGGCUAACUACGUG
This 465-nucleotide ribosomal RNA is filed under the name uncultured bacterium. Its description in RNAcentral is "partial 16S ribosomal RNA". It matches the Rfam family "Bacterial small subunit ribosomal RNA", at positions 28 to 507 of the family's 1533-position model. The record is from RNAcentral.